Poecilia reticulata (guppy) is the source of this 1025-nucleotide long non-coding RNA. RefSeq lists it as uncharacterized. The record is from RefSeq and is a predicted model, not a curated record. NCBI's taxonomy places the organism in Eukaryota, Metazoa, Chordata, Actinopteri, Cyprinodontiformes, Poeciliidae.
UUACUGUUUUGUAAAUGACUUGAGAAAUGCACCAAAGCUUGCAGGAUUUGUAACUUACAUAAAUGGUUGAAGACAACUUAUUGGCCCUCAUGACACCCAGAUAAAUGAGAGGAUCACACCUGUCGCCAAAAACAAAGGUUUAAGACUACUGAAUUUUCAGUCAGAAAUGAUCACACCGCCUGGCUGAAGUACCAGUCUCCAUAUGCAAAUCAACAAAGCAGAGAGGAAACACCUCAUUGACAACAUGUGAGUCUCAAUCUCAACCUGUGACUGAGAAAACCAUGACCAUGACCCACACCAUCCUGAGCGAAGUCUGAACUUAGUGACUUGUUUCUCUCAACCCAGAGCAAGAAUCCUUUUAUCACCGGUUUUUCUUCUACAAUAGCUUAUCUUUUAUAUGGACACAUUCUGUUUUUUUUUUUUUUUCAGAUCUCAGUAAUGGAAUGGAAAUGGAAUCGGUUCUUUUUUUAACUGACUUUUUAAAUAGAAAUUGUUUCUUUAAGUGGAUUACUCGAGAUCUGUAUUUUUGUUUAAUUUGGGCUUAUUUUCUUUAUAACUUUCUGUAUAGAAAUGCUGACAAAUUACACUUCCUUGUGUGUUGUACGGUAAUUGGGGCCUGCCCAUAGCAAUGCAUAGGGAGAGCAGUGGCUGACUUGCAGAAGCAAGUCAGCCACUGCUCUGUUUUCGAAUACGUAUCACGGUUCCCGAACAGGAAGGAGUUGUUCGGACAGCUUUUUUUAGUGAAACUGGCUGGCUCAAACAGAUAKAAUUAUGUCUCCCCCUGUGUGUAUCUCUCACAGCUAGCAGUUGGCAGAGAGGAUUAAUUGCCAUAGCAACAGAACACAGGCCACAGCUGCUGAUUCAGACUACAAACACAUGGCCAUCUCUGUAGUUCUAACUAUGGCAAACACCCAGUUAAUGCAGAGGGUUAGGUUUUACCCAACCACUGUUACACAUUGGAUCAGUGUGACCAUUUAAGAUUAAGCUUAAUAAAAAUUUCAAAAUAAAAGCCUUGACAAUUUUUA